RNAcentral lists this ribosomal RNA (497 nucleotides) under uncultured bacterium. RNAcentral's name for it is "partial 16S ribosomal RNA". It matches the Rfam family "Bacterial small subunit ribosomal RNA", at positions 28 to 507 of the family's 1533-position model. The record is from RNAcentral.
GAUGAACGCUGGCGGCGUGCCUAAUACAUGCAAGUCGAGCGAACAGACGAUGAGCUUGCUCCUCUGACGUUAGCGGCGGACGGGUGAGUAACACGUGGAUAACCUUCCUAUAAUACUGGGAUAACUUCGGGAAACCGGAGCUAAUACCGGAUAAUAUAUUGAACCGCAUGGUUCAAUAGUGAAAGACGGUUUUGCUGUCACUUAUAGCUGGAUCCGCGCCGCAUUAGCUAGUUGGUAAGGUAACGGCUUACCAAGGCAACGAUGCGUAGCCGACCUGAGAGGGUGAUCGGCCACACUGGAACUGAGACACGGUCCAGACUCCUACGGGAGGCAGCAGUAGGGAAUCUUCGGCAAUGGGCGAAAGCUUGACGGAGCAACGCCGCGUGAGUGAUGAAGGUCUUCGGAUCGUAAAACUCUGUUAUUAGGGAAGAACAAAUGUGUAAGUAACUAUGCACGUCUUGACGGUACCUAAUCAGAAAGCCACGGCUAACUACGUG